GCGAACGCUGGCGGCGUGCUUAACACCUGCAAGUCGAACGGAAAGGCCCUGCUUUUGUGGGGUGCUCGAGUGGCGAACGGGUGAGUAACACGUGAGUAACCUGCCCUUGACUUUGGGAUAACUUCAGGAAACUGGGGCUAAUACCGGAUAGGAGCUCCUGCUGCAUGGUGGGGGUUGGAAAGUUUCGGCGGUUGGGGAUGGACUCGCGGCUUAUCAGCUUGUUGGUGGGGUAGUGGCUUACCAAGGCUUUGACGGGUAGCCGGCCUGAGAGGGUGACCGGCCACAUUGGGACUGAGAUACGGCCCAGACUCCUACGGGAGGCAGCAGUGGGGAAUAUUGCACAAUGGGCGGAAGCCUGAUGCAGCAACGCCGCGUGCGGGAUGACGGCCUUCGGGUUGUAAACCGCUUUCGCCUGUGACGAAGCGUGAGUGACGGUAAUGGGUAAAGAAGCACCGGCUAACUACGUG
RNAcentral lists this ribosomal RNA (467 nucleotides) under uncultured bacterium. RNAcentral's name for it is "partial 16S ribosomal RNA". It matches the Rfam family "Bacterial small subunit ribosomal RNA", at positions 30 to 507 of the family's 1533-position model. The record is from RNAcentral.